AGAGUUUGAUCCUGGCUCAGAUUGAACGCUGGCGGCAGGCCUAACACAUGCAAGUCGAGCGGAUGAGUGGAGCUUGCUCCAUGAUUCAGCGGCGGACGGGUGAGUAAUGCCUAGGAAUCUGCCUGGUAGUGGGGGACAACGUUUCGAAAGGAACGCUAAUACCGCAUACGUCCUACGGGAGAAAGCAGGGGACCUUCGGGCCUUGCGCUAUCAGAUGAGCCUAGGUCGGAUUAGCUAGUUGGUGAGGUAAAGGCUCACCAAGGCGACGAUCCGUAACUGGUCUGAGAGGAUGAUCAGUCACACUGGAACUGAGACACGGUCCAGACUCCUACGGGAGGCAGCAGUGGGGAAUAUUGGACAAUGGGCGAAAGCCUGAUCCAGCCAUGCCGCGUGUGUGAAGAAGGUCUUCGGAUUGUAAAGCACUUUAAGUUGGGGGGAAGGGCAGUAAGUUAAUACCUUGCUGUUUUGACGUUACCGGCAGAAUAAGCACCGGCUAACUUCGUGCCAGCAGCCGCGGUAAUACGAAGGGUGCAAGCGUUAAUCGGAAUUACUGGGCGUAAAGCGCGCGUAGGUGGUUCGUUAAGUUGGAUGUGAAAGCCCCGGGCUCAACCUGGGAACUGCAUCCAAAACUGGCGAGCUAGAGUAUGGCAGAGGGUGGUGGAAUUUCCUGUGUAGCGGUGAAAUGCGUAGAUAUAGGAAGGAACACCAGUGGCGAAAGGCAGCCCCCUGGGUCGAUACUGACGCUCAUGCACGAAAGCGUGGGUAGC
This 767-nucleotide ribosomal RNA is filed under the name bacterium enrichment culture clone 109. RNAcentral describes it as "bacterial SSU rRNA". It matches the Rfam family "Bacterial small subunit ribosomal RNA", at positions 8 to 769 of the family's 1533-position model. The record is from RNAcentral.